Molecule: ribosomal RNA, 699 nt
Filed under: uncultured bacterium
Lineage: Bacteria
Description: bacterial SSU rRNA
Rfam family: Bacterial small subunit ribosomal RNA
Source: RNAcentral
UGCCCAUAUAACACUUGGAAACAGGUGCUAAUACCGUAUAACACUAUUUUCCGCAUGGAAGAAAGUUGAAAGGCGCUUUUGCGUCACUGAUGGAUGGACCCGCGGUGCAUUAGCUAGUUGGUGAGGUAACGGCUCACCAAGGCCACGAUGCAUAGCCGACCUGAGAGGGUGAUCGGCCACACUGGGACUGAGACACGGCCCAGACUCCUACGGGAGGCAGCAGUAGGGAAUCUUCGGCAAUGGACGAAAGUCUGACCGAGCAACGCCGCGUGAGUGAAGAAGGUUUUCGGAUCGUAAAACUCUGUUGUUAGAGAAGAACAAGGAUGAGAGUAGAACGUUCAUCCCUUGACGGUAUCUAACCAGAAAGCCACGGCUAACUACGUGCCAGCAGCCGCGGUAAUACGUAGGUGGCAAGCGUUGUCCGGAUUUAUUGGGCGUAAAGCGAGCGCAGGCGGUUUCUUAAGUCUGAUGUGAAAGCCCCCGGCUCAACCGGGGAGGGUCAUUGGAAACUGGGAGACUUGAGUGCAGAAGAGGAGAGUGGAAUUCCAUGUGUAGCGGUGAAAUGCGUAGAUAUAUGGAGGAACACCAGUGGCGAAGGCGGCUCUCUGGUCUGUAACUGACGCUGAGGCUCGAAAGCGUGGGGAGCGAACAGGAUUAGAUACCCUGGUAGUCCACGCCGUAAACGAUGAGUAAUAAGUG